Molecule: long non-coding RNA, 958 nt
Organism: Canis lupus familiaris (dog)
Lineage: Eukaryota; Metazoa; Chordata; Mammalia; Carnivora; Canidae
Exons: 5
Source: RefSeq, a predicted model, not a curated record
UCACAUGAAAUCAGUUAGUAUAGGAAGCAGAAUGAGUAAUGUCUUAGGGGGACAAGAAGAGAGGAUUCAGUAUUUCUUUCCUUCGUGACUCCCUUCUCUGUCUCUGACUUACCUGCAUGGCUUCUCCUGUACUAUAUAUGUUUCCAAUGAGGCCAUCUUCCUUUUUCUGAGACAGAAUCUUCCUUAUCAGUGACUCUAUAUGACCACCAAUGAUCUCUAAAUCCUGUCUAUACAUUAUGUUCUGACUAUUUGUUUUAUCCCUCUUCACACAGGUCAGAGCCAGGACAGCCAUCGCACCAGUAUCUGCCAGGAAAUAAAACAUCAGUGAUAAGGGUAUCAACAUUCUCAGACCUCUUGUAACUCUGACAAUAAUCCUGUGAGCUUCCUGACGAGCCCUACCCUGUCUGGUUGUGAACUCAGCUCACAUAACACUGUCCAUGGGAGAGGAGGAAAUAAGAAAUGCACACUGAGAACACGUUAAGGAACAGGAACGCUAGGAACAGAGGUGGCGUUAAUACAUUUAGUAACAGAUACGGUGCCCACGGAGCGAUCCUGCGGCCACGGGCUAUGUUGCUGGAACAAUCCACAGGUUAAUAUCGACAGAAAGAAGGCAGCAGCAUUAAGUUACGGUGGUGACUGACCCCAGAGCUGAAUUGUCUGCUUGCCCAACCGGCCUGGCAUCAAGAUCGUUAUUUAGCAGCAUGGACCUUUCAGAAAACCCUCUAAUCGUAGCCCACAUCUCAAGGGAAAGGAUGAGGAGAGUCACAUUCUACUGUGGAAGUGAAAAGAGGGUCCAGAGACCCCAAGAACUGGAGGCAAAUAAGGAGAGUUCAUUACCAGUUAAAACAUUCUUAAAUAUACUUUGUUCAGGAGCACCUGGUUGGUUCAGUUGGUUAAAUGGUUGACUCUUGAUUUCAGCUCAGGUUAUGACUUCAGGGUUGUGGGAUCAAACCCAACG